UCUAAUAACUACCAUCUGGUUUCUGUACAAAUUGUAAAUAGCCUUUCGCUCCCUGUAUUUUACCCCUGAUACCUUCAGACUUUGAAAGAGAGUAUUCCAGUCAACAUUGUCAAAAGCUGUCUCUAAGUCUACAAAUGCUAGAAACAUAGGUUUGCCUUUCCUGAAUCUAGUUUCUAAGGUAAGUCGUGUGCUCAGUAUUGCCUCAUGUGUUCCAAAAUUUCUACGGAAUCAAAACUGAUCUUCCCCGAGAUUGGCUUCUACCAGUUUUUCCAUUCGUCUGUAAAGAAUUCGCGUUAGUAUUUUGCGGCUGUGACUUAUGAAACUGAUAGUUCGGUAAUUUUCACAUCUGUCAACACCUGCUUUCUUUGGGAAUGGAAUUAUUAUAUUCUUCUUGAAGUCUGAGGCUAUUUUGCCUGUCUCAUACAUCUUGAUCACCAGAUGGAGGAGUUUUGUCAGGACUGGCUCUCCCAAGGCCAUCAGUAGUUCUAAUGGAAUGUUGUCUACUCCCGGGGCCUUGUUUCGACUCAGGUCUUUCAGUGCUCUAUCAAACUCUUCACACAGUAUUGUACCUCCCAUUUCAUCUUCAUCUACAUCCUUUUCCAUUUCCAUAAUAUUGUCCUCAAGUACGUUGCCCUUGUAUAGACCCUCUAUAUACUCCUUCCACCUUUCUGCUUUCCCUUCUUUGCUUAGAACUGGGUUUCCAUCUGAGCUCUUGAUUUUCAUACAAGUGGUUCUCUUUUCUCUAAAGGUCUCUUUAAUUUUCCUGUAGGCAGUAUCUAUCUUACCCCUAGUGAGAUAAGCCUCUACAUCCUUACAUUUGUCCUCUAGCCAUCCCUGCUUAGCCAUUUUGCACUUCCUGUGAUCUCAUUUUUGAGACGUUUGUAUUCCUUUUUGCCUGCUUCAUUUACUGCAUUUUUAUAUUUUCUCCUUUCAUCAAUUAAAUUCAAUAUUUCUUCUGUUACCCAAGGAUUUCUACUAGCCCUCGUCUUUUUAACUACUUGAUCCUCUGCUGCCUUCACUACUUCAUCCCUCAGAGCUACCCAUUCUUCUUCUACUGUAUUUCUUUCCCCCAUUCCUGUCAUUUGUUCCCUUAUGCUCUCCCUCAAACUCUCUACAACCUCUGGUUUAGUCAGUUUAUCAAAGUGCCCUGUCCUUGAUUCCCCACCCUGCUUAGUGCAUUUAAAUUUGGCAGUAUUGGUACUGUUUAGUCGCCACAUCUUUUUGCUGCCGAGUGUUCUGAGAGUGGUGGGAGAAGGACAUUUGCGGCUGCGGAGAUGUGCUGGGAGACAUUGUAAUUCAGUGCCAGCAACUUGGCAAGUCCUAAAGACUGUUUGCUGUGGCAUGCAUUAUGCACAGAACUAGCUCAUAUGAGGUCUGUCCAAAAGAAAUUGCAAUUUCUUGCCAAUGGAGUGAAAUGUGGUUGGCAUCCCUUCGUACGCCUGUGUCUAAUGUGUAACUGCCGGAAGUUUCAUUGUCGUGUGUCUGUUAGUUAUUGUUCAGUCGUGUACUGAGUAGAAUGUUGUGUCACACACUUUGAGAAUUUCGAGAUAGAGUUAGUGGAGAAACGUGCCUGCAUUAAAAUUUUGUGUGAAAGUCAAGAAAAUUUUUGCAGAGACACACCAAAUGAUGCAGGAAGCCCACAGUGAUGAGUGCUUAAGCGGUACUCGGUGUUACGAACGGUUCACACAGUAUAAAAAUGGCCGGAUAGAAGUUAAAGAUGACACACAUUCAAGAUGCCCUUCAACUUCUACCGAUGAUGCACAAAUCAGGAACGUCAAUGAAACUGUGAUGCUAAUCGACGGCUGAUUGUCCAAGAAAUUGCGGAACAAUGUGUGAUUUCAGUUGGAUCAUGUCAUGAAAUCCUGACACUGUACCUUGCAAUGCACUGUAUUGCCGCCAAGUUCGUCCCAUGCUCAUGGGUCAAGACCAGAAAGAUCUUCACCAGGCAAUCUGUGAAGAGCUUUUGGACUGUGCAAGUGAGAACAAGAUGUUCCGUAAGAGAAUCAUAGCUGGUGAUGAGAUGGGGUCUAGAGUUAUGAGUUGAGACCAAGAUUCAAUCUUCACAGUGGGUCAGAAAUAUUUUCCAAGACCAAAAAAAGCCCAUCAGGUCAGAUGUCAAAGCCAUGCUGAUAGUUUUCUUUGACUUUGAAGGGUUAGUUCAUUAUGAAUUCCAUGCCACACGUCAGUGGUAUUGUCGGGACAUGUUCCACCGCCUGUGAGAAGGAAACAGCCUGAAAUGUUUCUAGACUAUUGGUGGCUCUUGCAUCACAAUAGCGCACCUACACAUUCAUCCAUGUUGGUGCAUAACUAUUGCACAAAAAGCAAAAUCAGUGUGCUGCUUCAUCUUGCGUACUCUCCAGACCUGUCUCCUAUGGAUGUUAUUUUUUUUUUAUUUCCAAAUUUGAAAACCCCAUUGAAAGGACAAAGAUUUGCAACAAUAGGUGAGAUUCAAGAAAAUUUGCGAUCCAGCGAGGGGCAUCCCAACAGUGCUUCCGGAAGUGUAAGUGACGUUGUGAGCGGUGUAUCAAUUGUGGAGGAGAAUAUUUUGAAGGAGACCAUGCACAAUAAGUAAAAGGUAAGCGUUGAAGAAAUUUUAUGCACACAGUUCCUGAAGUUUUUGAACAGAUCUUGUAUAGGUCGGCAGUAGCACUGACAACAGCUGACUUCUGUAGCCACCAAACAGUAAACCGAACAGCGCGAAACUCAAUCCCUGUGUUCUCAGUCUGUGAUUUUCUCUUUUAUUGAGCAGUGUGCUACUAUGUCAUGGAUAAAAAAACAGUGACACAGUUGAACAACAAAGGAAAGUGAAACAUUAUUCAGGAAGUGUACGAAAAUUCGCAUAUGGAGUAUGCUGGUAUUUCGCGAAAACGGACUCGAAGUUAGCGGGGCUCACAACUCUUAAUGUCAAGCCGCCGAGGACGUCAUACUCAGUGAGUAGGCCUAUUCAAGACCUGAAAAUGAUGGCAAUAUAUAUGAGUAUUGUCAAAUAUGUUACACACUCUGUUUGUGUUUGCACUCCGGUCACAUAGCGGGAGAUUCGGAUGUGCCUGGGAGCAUAUGUAUGAGCUUUUGUCUGACAAAGGAAGUUCAUGGACCGAGCAUGUUCGAUUUUCUUUACGUAUAUUUAUUGGAUUUGAAAGUCUGUACGCAGACAUCAGUUUCCUAAAGCAGUGCAACAAAAAGAAAAACGUAAAAAAGUUGCCUCCAAAAAUGAGAUGAUACUCAACCAAAGAAAUUGCAAAAAACUUUGCAGGUCUCCAGUCAAUGCCACCUAGGAACAAGGAGCCUGAGACGUUACGGAUAGGGGUCUGAGAAGCUAGGUACCAACACAUGUGAUUCGAAGCAUUUCCACAUUGUAGUUUGUGCUGACUGUGAGUGGUUAUUUGAUCUAUACUCAGUUACAAUGCCCCGAAGGUGUUGUAUGCCGAAUUGCAGGAGCAAUUACGAUAAUGGACCUAAAGUCAGUGUAUUUUAUUUUCCAUCUGAUGAGAAUUUAAGACGAAAAUGGUUAUCGGCCGUUCACAGACAAGACUGGACACCGAGUAAGCACUCUGUUGUAAGUAUCAGUGUGUGUGUUUGGUUAGUGUGUCGUAGUUAGUUGAAAUGUAGUCCAGCUGAACAAAAUACAGUAAACAGAAGCAUGUAUUUAUAAUCUCAUACAUCAUUAAUUUUCGUUAUAUGUUUUAAAGAGAACUGUAUGCUUAUUUUUAGAUAUGUGAAUUGCAUUUCAACAAGGACGAUAUUUUAAGCAGUACCAGCAUGUAUGACCCGAAAACUGGUACACUCUUGACAGCACCAUUGGAUCGUCGGCGUUUGAGAAAAGAUGCUAUCCCAUCGAAGUUGCGUGGAUGCUUAUCUUGUCGAGUCAUCAAACUGCAGUACGAGAGGACCCAGAAAUUCAUAGGGGGCGUUUAGAAAAUCGUGCUCUUCAAAUUGCUAUCCAAGAGAGAGUGGACACACUUGCGAAAAUGGUUGAUGCGAUAUCGUUCGAUAGUUUAGAACAACUGAAAAUGAAGUUGAGUGAAUGUUAAAAGUACAGUGACUGGGUAGUGAUGAACAAAUCUGACAGUGUGAGCCUAGUGUUACUAAAGCAUAAUCCUUACCCAAAAAAUUUUUGCCACGUUGUUAUAAGCAGUGGUUUAUUACUUAGUGUCUUCAAUAAUAAUAUUGAAAUUAAAUGUAUUGGAAACAUGAAAUUUCCCAUGAAAGUAAACAACAUACAGGUGGUAAGUGAUGUUCUUAAGAUCAUUUACCUUCUGUGUAAUAGUUUUGAGGCUCCUGUAGAUAACAUUUUGUCUUUAAUUGACCAGUUAUUGCAAAAUUUAUUAGAGAAUUUGACAGGAAACGAAACUAAAAUUAUAUUUUUGAACGAACAGAUUUCAUUUUUGAAGUGCAGAAGUUCAACUCAAUUUAGGUAUGGUACUAACUCUACGAUAAUGUGGUCAUUAUUACAUUCUAUUAGCCAACAUGCUUACAAAUUUUUGAGGAACAGUGAUAGUUUUUCUAUGCAUAGUCCUAACACCCUUUCAAGGCUUUGUAGUACACUCUCAACAAAUCCUGUCAUUGAGCAACAGGGUGAUCAGUUUAUGAGCUACAUCACAUAGUAAGUAAGUACUUUACCCUCAGAUGAUAAAACUGUGCUCCUGUUGAAGGAUGAAAUUCAUCUGAAGUCUCAGCUUUAUUUCAAAGCUGGAAAUGUUGUAGGAUGUGCCUUUAACACUGACAGGUUUUUGUGUGCAACCAGUGCCUAUGUUUUUAUGCUUCAGAGCAUGGAAUCACCUUACAAAGAUGUGGUGUCUAUUCUGCCAGUUCAUACUAUUCAGGGUGGCGUUUUAUUGUCUUACAUUAAAGCAGUAAUUCUUAAAUUAGAAGCAGUUGGAAUUGAGGUGGUUGAUAUUGUAGCAGACAAUAAUGCAAUUAACAAGAAAGUAGUGUCUAAGUUUUUUACUCCUCCAGAUGUGAAAAUAAAGUAUGAUCACCCUGUACAAUCUUCUCCAAAUCACCCAUUGUAUUAUUUUUUGGACACUGUCCAUAUUUUGAAGUGUAUCCGCAAUAACUGGUUUUAACAAAAGGAGCAGAUCUUGUGUUUUCUUUACAGUUUGAAGGGAGGUUUGUCAUCUGUUGGAGCACUGAAAGAAUUGCACACGCAAUAGAAAAGGAAAAAGACCAUUUUUUUUACAAAGCACCUGGCAUUCGGCACAGUUUGGUCUAUCAACUACUCAUAUGAUUUUGAACACAUCCCUGUUGGUUUUUGAACAUUUUGGAAUAAAUUCUAAGUUGAUUGCUGAAUGAACCAUAAGUUGAUUUUUGAACGCGUCCAUAGUGUACGUGAUGUCUCUGCCAGGGGAAUCCCCGUCACAUCUAGAAAUAAACUUUCCUGCAGACAAAAGGGGACAGGUCUAUAAGGGCUGAGCAGAAUAAAGGCAAACGGGUGAAUGUCAGUCACUUUCUAUGCGGUUGACUGGGUUUGUAAAUUAUCAGUGUUGCUACAAUUACUAGCAAAUUCCAUAGAUUCAGACUACCAGAGCGGAAAUAAACGACUAACAGGAAUAACAGGCAACAAAGAUUACGUAUUAUCUUCUCCGUGCAAUCAAGAAAGUGAAAUUUUGACAGAAAAUCUUUGGCCAGAUCACUACACUAUAGUGAUGGGCUAAACUGCGAUUUUCCGAUAUCAGUGAUUUCUGUGAAUGCUACUUUUCAAUAUCUGCUAUUCUUAACUGUGAUUUGUCACAGUUAAAAGAGUUGCAGUUAAGGAACGUAGGUCGCGUAUCCCUCCGCCACUGCUAUUUCUGCUACUUCCGCGAUUUCUGCUACUUCUGCGACUUACCACCGUAUGAAAAAGUUACAUCUGCCCACACAGAAAAUUGCAUUUCAACAAAUCUGUCAUUGGUACCCAAACUACAUUUCAGUCACUCAGUAAAUUGAUAACUCAAAAUAUCAUUGUCAACAGAUCUGGAGAAAUUGCCACUGCAUCUUUAGACUGUUUCCAUCAGGCGAGAGACACAGUUCUGACUCCUGAUUACUGGUUGCUGUACGUAUCUAUACACAUCAAGGCUAUUGAGAGAGACUCGUGAAGAUUCAACACAGCUCUUAGAGGAUUUGCAGUUUAAAAGUGACAUAAUUUUGAAAUAAGUGUGCAGAUGAGUGAUUAAACUGUGUUUUAUUGAAGUUGUUAUACGAUUUUAAAGGAAUAAUAAAUGUUAAAUACAGUGAUUGAA
Long non-coding RNA from Schistocerca gregaria, 6218 nucleotides. RefSeq lists it as uncharacterized. The record is from RefSeq and is a predicted model, not a curated record. The transcript is spliced from 5 exons. NCBI's taxonomy places the organism in Eukaryota, Metazoa, Arthropoda, Insecta, Orthoptera, Acrididae.